This 90-nucleotide unclassified non-coding RNA is filed under the name Pseudomonas orientalis. Lineage: Bacteria; Pseudomonadati; Pseudomonadota; Gammaproteobacteria; Pseudomonadales; Pseudomonadaceae. The record is from RNAcentral.
UGUGGGAGGGGGCUUGCCCCCGAUAGCGGUUGCUCAGUCAAUGUAUCGGGUGACUGACACACUGCCAUCGGGGGCAAGCCCCCUCCCACA